CUGCCAUCUUUAGUCCAGCUCUGGGUGAUUUCAGCUCAGGCCCUGUGGUUUUUAUUUCAGCUCUGAGUGAUUUCAGCCCCAGCCCUACAGUUUUGAUUUCAACUCCAGCUCCAGCUCCAGCCGCAGUCGUUCUUCAGCUCCAGCUCUGUCACAUCUCAGCCGCAGCCCCACAGCAGUGAUUUCAGCUCCAACCCUGCCAUCCUGAUUUCAUCUCCCACCCUACAGUAGCUAUUGAACCCCAGGAUUUCCACUCCAGGCCUGUGCUGUUUCCCCUCCCACCCCCCCCCCACUCUUUAUUUCACCCCCCAGCCUCACAGACUUUCUUACGGCUCCAGCUCUGCGUUGUUUCAGCUUCAGCCCUGCAGUGUUUAGCUCAGCCUCAGCUCUACAUCUUCCUGUUGCCUCCGUGUUCUCACAGCAGCUCUGGGGGCUGUUGAUAAGGUAGUAAGUCAAUCACUGUCAUCACUCAACUAUCAAAACUGUCCCACUGUGUCUGUCCCCUGAAUAAAGUGUUCCUGUUGUGUGUGUCCCCAUUUCAGAGGGGAGUUUGGCCUGGUGCAUGCUGGCAUCCCAUGUUUCAGGGGCAAAUAAAACCAGACCCCCACCUCUGCUUGUUUUCAGGCCCAGAAACACAGCACUCUGGGGACUUUUGGAGCAGCUGAACCCCAGGACUGAGCUGGGCUGUUCAGCCCCAACCACAGAAC
Long non-coding RNA from Grus americana (Whooping crane), 704 nucleotides. RefSeq lists it as uncharacterized. NCBI's taxonomy places the organism in Eukaryota, Metazoa, Chordata, Aves, Gruiformes, Gruidae. The transcript is spliced from 3 exons. The record is from RefSeq and is a predicted model, not a curated record.